This 224-nucleotide unclassified non-coding RNA is filed under the name plant metagenome. RNAcentral's name for it is "partial contains small subunit ribosomal RNA, internal transcribed spacer 1, and 5.8S ribosomal RNA". The record is from RNAcentral.
UCUCCGUUGGUGAACCAGCGGAGGGAUCGUUACAGGACUCGCAAGACUCCUUCACCCUGUGAACCUCACUACAAGCACGUUGCUUCGGCGGGUGUCCCGGCGGGGGUUUUCCCUCGCCGGGGCGCACAGCCCGCCGGCAGCCUACUAUACUCUGUCUCUUUGCGUUGGCAUCUCGAGAAUAAACAAACAAGUUAAAACUUUCAACAACGGAUCUCUUGGUUCUG